Long non-coding RNA from Musca domestica (house fly), 301 nucleotides. RefSeq lists it as uncharacterized. The transcript has 2 exons. NCBI's taxonomy places the organism in Eukaryota, Metazoa, Arthropoda, Insecta, Diptera, Muscidae. The record is from RefSeq and is a predicted model, not a curated record.
CCAUUGGGCUUUUGAGACCAAACAUCAGUACAACAGUUCUGUCUUCACAAUCCCCAAAUCAAAAAUGAAAUUCAACAAAGUUUUCAUUAUUGCCGCAGCCAUGAUUUUAUCCCUUAGCUCGACUGAAGCUAAACCCAAUCCAAAACCGGAACCCUUACCCGAGCCCAUUUUGAAUAUUGUCAAUGAUCUUCUCGGCGGACUUUUGGGUGGAAAGUAAAAAUAUCGAAUACAGUUAAAAUAUUUUCUUAAAGAAAAAUCCGUUUUUAAAAAUAAAGGAAAGAUUGGUAAAAACUUUUUGAAA